CCUACGGGGGGCUGCAGUGGGGAAUAUUGGACAAUGGGCGAAAGCCUGAUCCAGCCAUGCCGCGUGUGUGAAGAAGGCCUUCGGGUUGUAAAGCACUUUCAGUGGGGAAGAAAGCCUUGGGGCUAAUACCCUCGAGGAAGGACAUCACCCACAGAAGAAGCACCGGCUAACUCCGUGCCAGCAGCCGCGGUAAUACGGAGGGUGCGAGCGUUAAUCGGAAUUACUGGGCGUAAAGCGCGCGUAGGCGGUCUGAUAAGCCGGUUGUGAAAGCCCCGGGCACAACCUGGGAACGGCAUCCGGAACUGUCAGGAGAGAGUGCAGGAGAGGAAGGGAGAAUCCGCGGGGUAGCGGUGAAAUGCGUAGAGCUCGGAAGGAAUACCAGUGGCGAAGGCGGCCUACUGGACUGACACUGACGCUGAGGUGCGAAAGCGUGGGUAGCAAACGGGAUUAGAUACCCCAGUAGUC
Molecule: ribosomal RNA, 465 nt
Filed under: Vreelandella stevensii
Lineage: Bacteria; Pseudomonadati; Pseudomonadota; Gammaproteobacteria; Oceanospirillales; Halomonadaceae
Description: partial 16S ribosomal RNA
Rfam family: Bacterial small subunit ribosomal RNA
Source: RNAcentral